Molecule: transfer RNA, 65 nt
Filed under: Palinurellus wieneckii
Lineage: Eukaryota; Metazoa; Arthropoda; Malacostraca; Decapoda; Synaxidae
Description: tRNA-His
Rfam family: tRNA
About the family: Transfer RNA (tRNA) molecules are approximately 80 nucleotides in length. Their secondary structure includes four short double-helical elements and three loops (D, anti-codon, and T loops). Further hydrogen bonds mediate the characteristic L-shaped molecular structure. tRNAs have two regions of fundamental functional importance: the anti-codon, which is responsible for specific mRNA codon recognition, and the 3' end, to which the tRNAs corresponding amino acid is attached (by aminoacyl-tRNA synthetases). tRNAs cope with the degeneracy of the genetic code in two manners: having more than one tRNA (with a specific anti-codon) for a particular amino acid; and 'wobble' base-pairing, i.e. permitting non-standard base-pairing at the 3rd anti-codon position.
Source: RNAcentral
GUUUAAGUAGUUUAAGUAAAAUGUUGGUUUGUGGGACCGAAGAUAUAAAUGAAUUAUCUUGAACC